Molecule: ribosomal RNA, 491 nt
Filed under: uncultured bacterium
Lineage: Bacteria
Description: partial 16S ribosomal RNA
Rfam family: Bacterial small subunit ribosomal RNA
Source: RNAcentral
AGUGAACGCUGGCGGUAGGCCUAACACAUGCAAGUCGAACGGCAGCACAGUAAGAGCUUGCUCUUACGGGUGGCGAGUGGCGGACGGGUGAGGAAUACAUCGGAAUCUACUUUUUCGUGGGGGAUAACGUAGGGAAACUUACGCUAAUACCGCAUACGACCUACGGGUGAAAGCAGGGGAUCUUCGGACCUUGCGCGAUUGAAUGAGCCGAUGUCGGAUUAGCUAGUUGGCGGGGUAACGGCCCACCAAGGCGACGAUCCGUAGCUGGUCUGAGAGGAUGAUCAGCCACACUGGAACUGAGACACGGUCCAGACUCCUACGGGAGGCAGCAGUGGGGAAUAUUGGACAAUGGGCGCAAGCCUGAUCCAGCCAUACCGCGUGGGUGAAGAAGGCCUUCGGGUUGUAAAGCCCUUUUGUUGGGAAAGAAAGGCAGCAGGUUAAUACCCCGCUGUUCUGACGGUACCCAAAGAAUAAGCACCGGCUAACUUCGU